GACGAACGCUGGCGGCGUGCCUAAUACAUGCAAGUCGAACGCUGAAGGAUGAGCUUGCUUCUCUGGAUGAGUUGCGAACGGGUGAGUAACGCGUAGUUAACCUGCCUGGUAGCGGGGGAUAACUCUUGGAAACGAUAGCAAUUACCGCAUAAUAGUCGAUGUUGCAUGACAUUAGCUUAAAAGUUGCACUUGCAUCACUACCAUAUGGACCUGCGUUGUAUUAGCUAGUUGGUGAGGUAACGGAGCACUAAGGCAACGAUGCAUAUCCGACCUGAGAGGGUGAGCGGCCACACUGGGAGGGAGACACGGCCCAGAGGGCUACAGGAGGGAGCAGGAGGGAAACGUGAGGAAGGGACGGAAGGCAGAGCGAGAAACGCCGCGGGAGGGAAGAAGGGUGUCGGAUCGUAAAGCACGGUUGUAAGAGAAGAAAGAGUGUGAGAGUGGAAAGUUCACAGUGUGACGGUAUCUGACCAGAAAGGGACGGCUAACUACGUG
Molecule: ribosomal RNA, 495 nt
Filed under: uncultured bacterium
Lineage: Bacteria
Description: partial 16S ribosomal RNA
Rfam family: Bacterial small subunit ribosomal RNA
Source: RNAcentral